AAGUCGUAACAAGGUUUCCGUAGGUGAACCUGCGGAAGGAUCAUUAUUGAUUCUCUUGGAGAAGCGCUUUGCAAAAAGCGCUUUUCUUUUCUGUGAACUGGAGUGUUCAGCGUUCCCUUUGGGGAGCGCUGGCACUUGCUCUUCUUUUCUUGUCUUUUUAUAUUAUGAUUUUCUCUUCUUCUUUUGAGGAAAAGAAAAGAAAUAAUCCAAGACAACUUUCAGCAAUGGAUCUCUUGGCUCUU
This 242-nucleotide unclassified non-coding RNA is filed under the name fungal sp. RNAcentral describes it as "partial internal transcribed spacer region". The stretch from base 1 to 46 matches the Rfam family "Eukaryotic small subunit ribosomal RNA", at positions 1786 to 1831 of the family's 1831-position model. Lineage: Eukaryota; Fungi. The record is from RNAcentral.